Molecule: ribosomal RNA, 1423 nt
Filed under: Curtobacterium flaccumfaciens
Lineage: Bacteria; Bacillati; Actinomycetota; Actinomycetes; Micrococcales; Microbacteriaceae
Description: 16S ribosomal RNA
Rfam family: Bacterial small subunit ribosomal RNA
Source: RNAcentral
AGUCGRACGAWGAUGCCCASCUUGCUGGGUGGAUUAGUGGCGAACGGGUGASUAWCACGUGAGUAACCUGCCCCUGACUCUGGGAUAAGCGUUGGAAACGACGUCUAAUACUGGAUAUGAUCACUGGCCGCAUGGUCUGGUGGUGGAAAGAUUUUUUGGUUGGGGAUGGACUCGCGGCCUAUCAGCUUGUUGGUGAGGUAAUGGCUCACCAAGGCGACGACGGGUAGCCGGCCUGAGAGGGUGACCGGCCACACUGGGACUGAGACACGGCCCAGACUCCUACGGGAGGCAGCAGUGGGGAAUAUUGCACAAUGGGCGAAAGCCUGAUGCAGCAACGCCGCGUGAGGGAUGACGGCCUUCGGGUUGUAAACCUCUUUUAGUAGGGAAGAAGCGAAAGUGACGGUACCUGCARAAAAAGCACCGGCUAACUACGUGCCAGCRSGCGSGGUAAUACGUAGGGUGCAAGCGUUGUCCGGAAUUAUUGGGCGUAAAGAGCUCGUAGGCGGUUUGUCGCGUCUGCUGUGAAAUCCCGAGGCUCAACCUCCGGCUUGCAGUGGGUACGGGCAGACUAGAGUGCGGUAGGGGAGAUUGGAAUUCUGGUGUAGCGGUGGAAUGCGCAGAUAUCAGGAGGAACACGAUGGCGAAGGCAGAUCUCUGGGCCGUAACUGACGCUGAGGAGCGAAAGCAUGGGGAGCGAACAGGAUUAGAUACCCUGGUAGUCCAUGCCGUAAACGUUGGGCGCUAGAUGUAGGGACCUUUCCACGGUUUCUGUGUCGUAGCUAAACGCAUUAAGCGCCCCGCCUGGGGAGUACGGCCGCAAGGCUAAAACUCAAAGGAAUUGACGGGGGCCCGCACAAGCGGCGGAGCAUGCGGAUUAAUUCGAUGCAACGCGAAGAACCUUACCAAGGCUUGACAUACACCGGAAACGGCCAGAGAUGGUCGCCCCCUUGUGGUCGGUGUACAGGUGGUGCAUGGUUGUCGUCAGCUCGUGUCGUGAGAUGUUGGGUUAAGUCCCGCAACGAGCGCAACCCUCGUUCUAUGUUGCCAGCGGGUUAUGCCGGGGACUCAUAGGAGACUGCCGGGGUCAACUCGGAGGAAGGUGGGGAUGACGUCAAAUCAUCAUGCCCCUUAUGUCUUGGGCUUCACGCAUGCUACAAUGGCCGGUACAAAGGGCUGCGAUACCGUAAGGUGGAGCGAAUCCCAAAAAGCCGGUCUCAGUUCGGAUUGAGGUCUGCAACUCGACCUCAUGAAGUCGGAGUCGCUAGUAAUCGCAGAUCAGCAACGCUGCGGUGAAUACGUUCCCGGGCCUUGUACACACCGCCCGUCAAGUCAUGAAAGUCGGUAACACCCGAAGCCGGUGGCCUAACCCUUGUGGAAGGAGCCGUCGAAGGUGGGAUCGGUGAUUAGGACUAAGUCGAACAAG